RNA transcript from Sapajus apella (tufted capuchin), 1953 nucleotides. It is a transcript of the gene named glutamine synthetase pseudogene, with no coding region annotated. The transcript has a single exon. Lineage: Eukaryota; Metazoa; Chordata; Mammalia; Primates; Cebidae. The record is from RefSeq and is a predicted model, not a curated record.
ACCCUGGCCCACCUCGAGCGCACCUUCAUCGCCCUCAAGCUGGACUGCGUGCAGCGCAGCCUGGUGGGCGAGAUCAUCAAGCGCUUUGAGCAGAAGGGGUUCCGCCUUGCGGCCAUGAAGUUCCUCCCGGCCUCCGAGGAACACCUGAAGCAGCAAUGCAUUGACCCGAAAGACGGCCCAUUCGUCCCUGGGCUGGCGAAGUACACGAACUCAGGGCCGGUCGUGGCCAUGGCCUGGGAGAGGCUGAAUGUGGUGAAGACAGGCCGAGUGAUGCUUGGAGAGACCAAUGCAGCAGAUUCUAAGCCAGGCACCAUUCGCGGGGACUUCUGCAUUCAGGUUGGCAGGAACAUCAUGCAUGACAGUGACUCGGUAAAAAGUGCUGAAAAAGAAAUCAGGCUGAGAGUCAAGAGUGCGAGGAGAGCAGAGCGUGUGAGCAGCGCAGCGGCCUCCUCUCCUCACCUCGCUCCCGCGGCCUCCCUUUACCUACCCGCCUGCACGGCGCCCAGAACACCUUCCACCGUCACUGCCUCAAUAAGUUCCUAUUUAACAAAGGCAUCAAGUAGGGGUACGUGUCCCCGCCUCAGGGCGAGAAAGUCCAGGCCACGCCUAUCUGGAUCGAUGGUACUGGAGGGGACUGCGCUGCAAGACCAGGACCCUGGACACUAAGCCCAAGUGCGUGGAAGAGUUCCUGAGUGGAAUUUCCAUGGCUCUAGCACUUUACAGUCUGGAGGCUCCAACAGUGACAUGUAUCUCGUGCUUGCUGCCAUGUUUCGGGACCCCUUCUGUAAGGACCCUAACAAGCUGGUGUUGUGUGAAGUUUUCAAGUACAAUGGAAAGCCUGCAGAGACCAAUUUGAGGCACACCUGUAAACGGAUAAUGGACGUGGUGAGCAACCACCACCCCUGGUUUGGCAUGGAGCAGGAAUGGGGACAGAUGGGCACCCCUUUGGUUGGCCUUCCAAUGGCUUCCUGGGACCCCAGGGUCCAUAUUACUGUGGUGUGGGAGCAGACCAAGCCUCCAAGCCUAUGGCAGGGAAAUCGUGGAGGCCCAUUAUCGGGCCUGCUUGUAUGGUGGAGUCAAGAUUGCUGGGACUAAUGCCGAGAUCAUGCCUGCCCAGUGGGAAUUUCAAAUUGGACCCCGUGAAGGAAUCAGCAUGGGAGAUCGUCUCUGGAUGGCCCGUUUCAUCUUGCCUCGUGUAUGUGAAGACUUUGGAGUGAUAGCAACCUUUGAUUCUAAGCCCAUUCCUGGGAACUGGAAUGGUGCAGGCUGCCAUACCAACUUUAGUACCAAGGCCAUGCGGGAGGAGAAUGGUCUGAAGUACAUUGAGGAGGCCAUCGAAAAACUAAGCAAGCGGCACCAGUCACUGCGCCUAUAAUCCCAAGGGAGGCCUGGACGCCCGACGCCUAACUUCCUCAAAACCUCCAGCAUCCACGACUUUUCUGCUGGUGUAGCCAAUUGUAGCGCCAGCAUAUGCAGUUCCCGGACUGUCGGCCAGGUGAAGAAGGGUCACUUUGAAGACCGUCGCCCCUCUGCCAACUGCUACCCCUUUUUGGUGACCGAAGCCCUCAUCCGCACGUCUUCUCAACGAAACCGGUGGUGAGCCCUUCCAGUAUAAAAACUGAGUGGACUCGACCUCCAGCUGUCGGGCCCUCCUCCUCGUUCUUCCUCCCACUCCAACUCCUCACCCUCUCCUAGUUGUCCCAGUUGUAACUCGAAGGGAGGAAUAUCAAGGUCUUUUUUUUUCCUUGUGCCCAGUUAAUCUUGCUUUCUUUGUUUGGCUGGGAUAGAGGGGUCAAGUUAAUUUCUUCACAUCCCUUUCCUUGUUUUUUCUAUCACUAAAGCUUUUUAGUGCAUUAGUGGGGAGGAGGAGGGGAAACAUAACCACUGCUUCCAUUUAAUUGGGUGCACCUGUCCAGUAGGCGUGGCUCUCCAGACAGAGCAGAUUUGCAGGAG